This 1371-nucleotide long non-coding RNA is filed under the name Dromaius novaehollandiae (emu). Its description in RNAcentral is "lncRNA (ENSDNVG00000012507.1)". The record is from RNAcentral. Lineage: Eukaryota; Metazoa; Chordata; Aves; Casuariiformes; Dromaiidae.
CCCCCAGCCCCGUAGAUCCCUGCCCAUAGGGUCCCCUUGGCCCCCCCAGCCCCAUAGAUCCCUGCCCAUAGGGUCCCCCAGCCCCAUAGAUCCUUGUCCGUGGGGUGACCUGGGCUCCCCAGCCCCAUAGAUCCUUGUCCAUGGGGUCCCCCAGCCCCAUAGAUCCCUGCCCAUGGGGUGACCUGGGUCCCCUAGUCCCAUGGAUCCUUGCCCAUAGGGUCCCCUUGGUCCCCCCAGCCCCAUAGAUCCCUGCCCAUGGGGUGACCUGGGCUCCCCAGCCCCAUAGAUCCUUGUCCAUGGGGUACCCCAGCCCCAUAGGUCCUUGUCCAUGGGGUCCCCAAGCCCCAUAGGUCCUUGCCCAUGGGGUGACCUGGGCCCCCCAGCCCCAUAGAUCCUUGUCCAUGGGGUCCCCAAGCCCCAUAGAUCCUUGUCCAUGGGGUGACCUGGGCUCCCCAGCCCCAUAGAUCCUUGUCCAUGGGGGUCCCCAAGCCCCAUAGAUCCUUGUCCAUGGGGUGACCUGGGCUCCCCAGCCCCAUAGAUCCUUGUCCAUGGGGUCCCCUGGGCCCCCCAGCCCCAUAGAUCCCUGCCCAUGGAGUCCCCCAGCCCCAUAGAUCCCUGCCCAUGGGGUGCCCUGGGCCCCCAGCCCCAUAGGUCCUUGCCUGUGGGGUCCCCCAGCCCCAUAGAUCCUUGCCCAUAGAGUCCCCUGGGCCCCCUAGUCCCACAGAGCCUUGUCCAUGGGGUCCCCUGCACCUCCCAGCCCCAUAGAUCCUUGCCCGUGGGGUCCCCUGGGCCCCCCAGCCCCAUGGAUCCCUGUCCAUAGGGUCCCCCUGGGCCUCCCAGCCCCAUAGAUCCUUGUCCUUGGGGUCCCCAAGCCCCAUAGAUCCUUGUCCRUGGGGUGCCCUGGGCCMCCAAGCCCCACRGAUCCCUGCCCCUGGGGUCCCUGGUGCCCCCAGCCCCACGGAUCCCUGCCGCUGGGGUGCCCCUGCCCCACGGCGCCGCCCCCCCCCGCAGUGCUCCCGCUCGUGCCUGGGGGGGGUGCAGGCCCGCGAGGUGCACUGCCUGACCCCCAACAAGACCCUCAGCACCCUGUGCCCGCCCCACCUGCGCCCCCCCAGCCAGCAGCCCUGCAACAGCCAGCCCUGCGCCCCGGAGCUCGACGCCGGCUGCCAGGACGCGUCGCCCAGCUGCGCGGCGGUGGUGCGCGCCCGCCUGUGCGUCUACCCCUACUACGAGCGGCUGUGCUGCGCCGCCUGUGCCCGCCCCCCCGCCACCCCGGCCCCCCGGUAGCCGCCCGCCGCCUGUGUCACCACCGACCGGGAGGGUUUAAUUUAUUUUGUAUUAAAGGUGGUUGCGCGGUGCCGGCCGCUCUCG